AUUGAUACUUUAAAUGUUAAUUAUGUUAUCCAUUUUGAAAUGGUGGUGAAUGUUAUGAUUAUUUUAUAUUUACAUACGAACUUACUAAGCUUUAUAGCAUACUUUGUUUAAUUUUUGAUGUUUUAUAGUUUUAUGAAGCUAGCUCGGAUCCGUGGAUUGUUAGAGGCUUCAUCGCACUAUCGGACAUCUAUUUGGUACUUUUGAGUUGUGUAAU
Molecule: long non-coding RNA, 214 nt
Filed under: Gossypium barbadense (sea-island cotton)
Lineage: Eukaryota; Viridiplantae; Streptophyta; Magnoliopsida; Malvales; Malvaceae
Description: long non-coding RNA (GBAR_LNC007124)
Source: RNAcentral